RNAcentral lists this non-coding RNA (84 nucleotides) under Chloroflexota bacterium. Its description in RNAcentral is "Chloroflexi bacterium c-di-GMP sequence". It matches the Rfam family "c-di-GMP-II-GAG riboswitch aptamer". The record is from RNAcentral. Lineage: Bacteria; Bacillati; Chloroflexota.
CCAUGACGCGGGAGCUUGGACUCGCUGCCCAUACCCGGCCGCCGGGGCAGGGCUGAGCCACUGGCGGGACCGACCGCGAGCCGG